Long non-coding RNA from Aquila chrysaetos chrysaetos, 3478 nucleotides. RefSeq lists it as uncharacterized. The record is from RefSeq and is a predicted model, not a curated record. The transcript has 3 exons. NCBI's taxonomy places the organism in Eukaryota, Metazoa, Chordata, Aves, Accipitriformes, Accipitridae.
CCGGCGGGGCGGCGGGCGCGCCGGGGGGGGGGGGGGGGCGGAGCGCAGCGCGCCGCUGCUCCGCGGCCGCCCCGCGUAGGGGAGGCCCGCCCGCCGCCGGCGCUCCCGCCGAGACGGGCCACUUGGUAUCGCCCUGCCCGCCUACCCGGGCCGGGGCCGGGGCCGGGGCCGCCGGCGGCGGCGGGCAGGAAGUGCGGGGCCGGCGGGGCAGCGCGGAGAGGCGGCUCCGCGGAGCUGCGCGCCCGCGGAGACGGGGCGGGGGGGGGGGUGCGCGCCCGACCCGCCGGCGCUCGCUGCCGGCCUCACCGGCAACGUGGGCGGGGGGGGUGGAAAAAAGUUUGGAUUUUUCGGGUUGGGGUUUUUUUUUCCCUUUAAUUUUUUUUUUAAACCCCAAAGCAAAUAAGGAAACGAUGGAGCAGGACUCCCGUGGCACCAGCUCACACCGGGCCCUGCGCGCAUCUCCAGCGCGGCUGGAGGGGGUGGCAAGUUUUCGGUGCGCGGGGGGGGGGGGGGCGCGACGGUGGCAGCUCCGGAGCGGCCGGCGGAGGGGAGCGCGGCGGCCCCCCGACACGCCGCACGCUUCCCUGCUGAGCAGGGCGAUGCUUGUCCGCCCCCCCUGCCCCCCGAAGUGCCCCCCCCAUCCCAGCAGUGCCCCCCAGCAAGGCCGAUAGCGGUACAGGUGAAUUCGGUGCAGGUAAAUUCGGUACCGUCAGCCGAGCCCGUGGGUGGGUGUAGUCUCACCCGGCUGGAGACAGGCGCUCGCCGCUCUGUGCCAGACAUGAACUUGCACUGCCUGCCAGCGUACCCCAUCACAAAAUGGAGGGGAUUUAGGGACUGAUGCUAAUCUGCUUCCUGAGGGAGGUCAUUGGAAGCGUGGCUCAGAAAUAUGGCCCGCAGCACAGACAAACAGGCGAAUCUUCCCCUUAGGAUAUUUUUUGCCCCCUCCCGCCCAGUUCCUAUCCAGCAUAUUUUUAAGUUGAAAAUAUAUGGAGAAUUUAAUGUAGUUGCCACUGUGCCUUAUCGGUAGCUUUCACUCUGCCUCCCCUUAUAGGAGACUAAGGGAGCACGUUCAGUGCAGUCGUGAGAUAAGAACUGAAUAGAGCUGAAAUCAAGGCCACACCAGGAAAAAGAUACUUAAAGAUUAGCGUCAAACCUUGGGAGGCAAGGGGGGGCAGGAACAAACAGAAAAAUCCAAAGCAGCAGUUUUUCAAAGCUUAUCUCUGCACAAAGUCCAACAGAUUUUUAUAAGGACAGAAGAAAAAAACCCAAACCAAACAAACAAACCACCACCACCACCACCAACCAAACCUUUCACAUGUAGUCCAAAGCUUGAAUACUGAAACUGAAUACAUUGAUGCAGAGAGAUGACAAUGUUACUCAACAAUAACCACUUUCUCCAAGGCCUUUCGGAAACAGUUCAACCAUUUUGCCAGCUUAAAAAAAAAAUAAUAAAAACGUCAGCCCAAGGCAAAGAACAAGCUUGGAAACUAAAGAACCUGAACAGUUAAAACUAGAAGCAACUCGACCAGGAACACAUAAUGGAAAACUGUAUGCAACCGCCAUCGCUGCCAACUUCGCAUACUUGAAGCUGGGUUCUCCUUGCAGGAGAAGAUUACACUUAGGAGUGAGAAACAAAGAGGGAUUAAGUGAGAUUCAUCUGCAUCAUUCAAACUAUGCUGAAUUUGGAGAUACUGUGUGAAAUUCCUUCUGCUGUCUGGGAUUUAAUCACCAAUGGAUUAGAUAGAAACUAGAGUAUCUGAGUUCAUCAGCUUGACCUGGACAGCCCAGCACCAAAAAACAAAGGAAGAAACUGCUGGCAAGGAUUAAGGAUUCAGCCUGCUCUUUCCCCGUUGGUCUUCUGGUACCUGUCAUGGUCGUUGGGAUGGAAAGCACUGGUGGCAUCCUUGAAGAUGGCCGAUUGCUCCAGAUGCUUUCAGGCCAGGUGUCUGGUAGAAAGUUUGCAUGCAUCGGACAGGCUUUGAUCUGCCUCUGCCAGAAGAGCCAGGACUUGCCUCCGCUGCAGGCAGUGACAGCAAAAGCAUGUCUUCUGGCUUUGAGCUGGGGACACGGUCAUCCUGGUCAUCCCCACGCUGUCUUCCUAAAGGCGGAUGGCACUUCUCCGGGGGGAGCUGCUGGCCGGCAGUUUUGCCUGGGAAGGAGCUCCUGCCCGGCCAGGGCAUUUGCAGGACAACCUGGCGGGAGCGGUCGGAGGAGCAACCCCUGGAGCACCCCCUCCAUCACCGAGCUUCCUCACAACUUCCAUUUGAUGGAAGAAAGCAACGUUUCAAAAGACACUGUAAUUAUUUCUUUCAUUCUGUUUUAAUCUUGCUUUUGGAAAUCUCUCACUGAAGAAUCGCUUUAGAGAAAUUCAAAUGAAAACAGUAACAGAGAAGUGCAGCCGGUGUUAUUUCACUGCGAUAAAGCCAAGCUGGAUGGCAGGUGCUUGGGGAAAUAUGAAGGAAAAUUGUUUAUCAGAACUAUUUUCUUUGAUAAGUUUUUUCUUCCAGUAAUAAAAACCUGGAUGCUCAUCUUGUAAAGCCUCCCAUUUUUUGCUACCAGAUGCUGGAGCUUGAAUUUUUGCCUACAUCAGUUUAACCCCUCUUUGUGCUCCUUUGCAUUUCCAAGCUGGACUUAACAGGCAAACAAACAUAACUUGGGAAAUGCCAGCUGCACGCAUUGCUCUCAACCGUAGGAUGGGCAAGCAGCAUCGCCUGAACAGGCAGACCCACUAUUUAACGUACUACCAAAACAAAUAUGCCAAGGGGUUUUGCCAGCCAUCUGGAUCACAGAAACGGGAGGUGGAAAAGAGCAGGUAGGUUUUUACAGUGCAUUUUCCUGCCAAAGCAGGAUUGUUCCCUGCAAUACCUUCUAGUGUACUUCCCUGGCCUGUUUUAAAUGACCUUGGAGAAUGGGGAGAGGCGGGAGGCAGGAAUCUGCUAGUACUCUCCAGAGUCUCUUUGUCUAGUUUGAAUAAUAUAAUGUGGAGCAAGGGCAAAUGGGUGUUCAGAGAAUUUAGCUACAACACAAUAUUUAAUGUAAUUUUUGCAUGCUUUUUCAUCUCCAACCUACUUGCUAUGCAUGCCACUGUGCCACUAAUAUCGGAUAGAUGUAAAAAAAAAAAGUAACAAAAAUAGUGGCAAUACUCCAUCUUUGGAUGAUUGCUCUUCUUUUUCUUAGCAGGAGAUUGUCUUGGGUGCUUUCUUCCCCUGUGAGGAAAAAUGAAUAGUGAGAGCUGUGAUGAUUGGCACUAAGCCUGAGAAGAGCAGAUGUGAGCCUGCACAGCUGGACAAAGAAAAAAAUGCACUUUGCUACCCACAUUUGUAUUAAGGUUGCCCCAGGGAUACCCCAGUGACUACGGGGAGGGGGGGAAACGACGACUUAGCAUACGAACAGCGAAAGCCAUCAGGCACAUUUACAUAUAUAAGAACACUGCUGUCCUUUUCAAAGUCAAAGAGGGCAGCGAUUAAAGCAACAUAAA